AACGAACGCUGGCGGCAUGCCUAACACAUGCAAGUCGAACGAGACCUUCGGGUCUCGUUGCGCACGGGUGCGUAACGCGGGGGAACCUGCCCUUAGGUUCGGAAUAACUCCCCGAAAGGGGUGCUAAUACCGGAUAAGGUCCUCGGACCAAAGAUUUAUCGCCUUUGGAUGGGCCCGCGUUGGAUUAGCUAGUUGGUAGGGUAAAAGCCUACCAGGGCGACGAUCCAUAGCUGGUCGGAGAGGAUGAGCAGCCACACUGGGACGGAGACACGGCCCAGACUCCUACGGGAGGCAGCAGUGGGGAAUAUUGGACAAUGGGCGAAAGCCUGAUUAAGCCAUGCCGCGUGAGUGAUGAAGGCCUUAGGGUUGUAAAGCUCUUUUACCCGGGAUGAUAAUGACAGUACCGGGAGAAUAAGCACCGGCUAACUCCGUG
This 433-nucleotide ribosomal RNA is filed under the name uncultured bacterium. Its description in RNAcentral is "partial 16S ribosomal RNA". It matches the Rfam family "Bacterial small subunit ribosomal RNA", at positions 29 to 507 of the family's 1533-position model. The record is from RNAcentral.